UGCAGUCGACGAUGAACCACUUCGGUGGGGAUUAGUGGCGAACGGGUGAGUAACACGUGGGCAAUCUGCCCUUCACUCUGGGACAAGCCCUGGAAACGGGGUCUAAUACCGGAUAUGAGCCUGGGAGGCAUCUCCUGGGUUGUAAAGCUCCGGCGGUGAAGGAUGAGCCCGCGGCCUAUCAGCUUGUUGGUGAGGUAAUGGCUCACCAAGGCGACGACGGGUAGCCGGCCUGAGAGGGCGACCGGCCACACUGGGACUGAGACACGGCCCAGACUCCUACGGGAGGCAGCAGUGGGGAAUAUUGCACAAUGGGCGAAAGCCUGAUGCAGCGACGCCGCGUGAGGGAUGACGGCCUUCGGGUUGUAAACCUCUUUCAGCAGGGAAGAAGCGAAAGUGACGGUACCUGCAGAAGAAGCGCCGGCUAACUACGUGCCAGCAGCCGCGGUAAUACGUAGGGCGCAAGCGUUGUCCGGAAUUAUUGGGCGUAAAGAGCUCGUAGGCGGCUUGUCACGUCGAUUGUGAAAGCCCGAGGCUUAACCUCGGGUCUGCAGUCGAUACGGGCUAGCUAGAGUGUGGUAGGGGAGAUCGGAAUUCCUGGUGUAGCGGUGAAAUGCGCAGAUAUCAGGAGGAACACCGGUGGCGAAGGCGGAUCUCUGGGCCAUUACUGACGCUGAGGAGCGAAAGCGUGGGGAGCGAACAGGAUUAGAUACCCUGGUAGUCCACGCCGUAAACGGUGGGAACUAGGUGUUGGCGACAUUCCACGUCGUCGGUGCCGCAGCUAACGCAUUAAGUUCCCCGCCUGGGGAGUACGGCCGCAAGCUAAAACUCAAAGGAUUUGAC
This 840-nucleotide ribosomal RNA is filed under the name Streptomyces sp. RNAcentral's name for it is "bacterial SSU rRNA". It matches the Rfam family "Bacterial small subunit ribosomal RNA", at positions 56 to 914 of the family's 1533-position model. The record is from RNAcentral. Lineage: Bacteria; Bacillati; Actinomycetota; Actinomycetes; Kitasatosporales; Streptomycetaceae.